CGACUGCAGCAGAAUCGCAGCAGCACUUCUGGAUAUUUGAGAUGAACCCCACCCAGCCGGCACAAAAACACACAAUGAGCUUCAUUCACACAGGGAGACAAGUGUGUGUGCUCUUGAAGAAGGCGGUAAAAGUUCUUUAACAGAAGAGACGUUUAGAGGAAUGUCUUUUUUGACGAGGACAUGAACCGGCUGUCUCACCUCAACGCUCUCCAGAGACGUCGAUCGCCUCAGUUUGGCUCUUCGAACGCCGACCGGCGACGAGUCUGUGGCCUCGGGUCUGGACGGCGGCGAGUCCUCCGAGUCAGCGGUGUCGGGCUGACUGUCGGGACGGGAGCGACGGCCGUAACGCUUCGCUCCCUUCACGAACUUUGGCUUCACCUCCUCCGGAACAACUGGAGAGACAGACAGACAGACAGACAGACAGACAGACAGACAGACAGACGGGUUUGUAUGUAGGUCAGAGGAGCUGCAGAGUCACUGUAGAGACUCAGCCAAGAAACAAGAAGAAAAUUAAAGGCUGGAGCCAGAGUGUGUCACACAGGAAUCCUCUGCACCAGAACCAGGACUUUAAACUAACUGAGGCCAGCAUGCUAACUAAAAUACUGUUCUGGGUCUGCAGGAGCCAAAGACAGCAGGAGACUCAAAUCCACACAUUUUUAACAUUUCUUUUGUUGUACAUUGAUAAAGUCAGUUUGGACAUUUAAUGCACUUAUUUUUUAAUAUUUGUGUCUUUGUAGUUUCUGCAUGUUAUAUACAGUAAGCAGUAUUCACAGUAUCCAUAUACCAAUACACUGCGUAGUGUAUUCCCAUUUAUUACUGUUACACAUCCACAUAUACGCUGCCUUAAAGCUGCAGUGUGUCACAUUAAUAUAAUAUCCACAGGUAUGUUUCAUUAGUGUUUAAUCAGCUGAUAAUAAGAAUCAUUGUGUGUUUGUUACCUUAGAACGAGACGUUUGUAUCUACAGAGGCAGCAGCUCCUCUUCUGGUGGACCGCCAUGUUACGGUUUCAUCUACUACUUUGAUUUACUAUCACUUUUCAAUGCCAGGUUGUCGAAUAUAGACGCGAGUGGUAUUCAGUUAGUUGCAAUCUACAACUUCACCACCAGAUUUCAUUAAAUCCUACAAACUGGUCCUUUAAAAUCAAUAUUCAUAAAUCACUGACAGAACGAAUGUUUCCCUGAACGCACCAAACAGACCCGCUGAUUUAAACCACUAAACACGCUGAAUAAAGCAGUUCCACCUUAAACACGCUGAAUAAAGCAGUUCCACCUUAAACACGCUGAAUAAAGCAGUUCCACCUUAAACACGCUGAAUAAAGCAGUUCCACCUUAAACACAGUGAAUAAAGCAGUUCCACCUUAAACACACUGAAUAAAGCAGUUCCACCUUAACAAUCACUGAAUAAAGCAGUUCCACCUUAAACACACUGAAUAAAGCAGUUCCACCUUAAA
Dicentrarchus labrax (European seabass) is the source of this 1450-nucleotide long non-coding RNA. RefSeq lists it as uncharacterized. Lineage: Eukaryota; Metazoa; Chordata; Actinopteri; Moronidae. The record is from RefSeq and is a predicted model, not a curated record. The transcript has 2 exons.